UGAGACCGGCGCACGGGUGCGUAACGCGUAUGCAAUCUACCUUUUACUAUGGGAUAGCCCAGAGAAAUUUGGAUUAAUACCAUAUAGUAUAUUUGAAUGGCAUCGUUUGAAUAUUAAAGAUUUAUCGGUAAAAGAUGAGCAUGCGUCCCAUUAGUUAGUUGGUGUGGCAACGGCAUACCAAGACGAUGAUGGGUAGGGGUCCUGAGAGGGAGAUCCCCCACACUGGUACUGAGACACGGACCAGACUCCUACGGGAGGCAGCAGUGAGGAAUAUUGGUCAAUGGAGGCAACUCUGAACCAGCCAUGCCGCGUGCAGGAUGACGGUCCUAUGGAUUGUAAACUGCUUUUUGUACGGGAAGAAAACAAACUACGAGUAGUUAAUUGACGGUACCGUAAGAAUAAGGAUCGGCUAACUCCGUGCCAGCAGCCGCGGUAAUACGGAGGAUCCAAGCGUUAUCCGGAAUCAUUGGGUUUAAAGGGGUCCGUACGCGGCCUUAUAAGUCCAGUGGUGAAAGUUUUUGGCUUAACCAAAAAAUUGCCAUUGAUACUGUAGGGCUUGAAUAUCUGUGAAGUAACUAGAAUAUGUAGUGUAGCGGUGAAAUGCUUAGAUAUUACAUGGAAUACCGAUUGCGAAGGCAGGUUACUAACAGAUGAUUGACGCUGAUGGACGAAAGCGUGGGUAGCGAACAGGAUUAGAUACCCUGGUAGUCCACGCCGUAAACGAUGGAUACUAGCUGUUUGGUUUUCGGACUGAGUGGCUAAGCGAAAGUGAUAAGUAUCCCACCUGGGGAGUACGGUCGCAAGACUGAAACUCAAAGGAAUUGACGGGGGCCCGCACAAGCGGUGGAGCAUGUGGUUUAAUUCGAUGAUACGCGAGGAACCUUACCAGGGCUUAAAUGUAGAUUGACAGAUUUGGAAACAGAUUUUUCUUCGGACAAUUUACAANGUGCUGCAUGGUUGUCGUCAGCUCGUGCCGUGAGGUGUCAGGUUANUCCUAUAACGAGCNCAACCCCUGUUGUUAGUUGCCNGCACGUUAUGGUGGGAACUCUNCCAAGACUGCCCAUGUAACUGUGAGGAAGGUGGGGAUGACGUCAAAUCAUCACGG
This 1105-nucleotide ribosomal RNA is filed under the name uncultured Myroides sp. RNAcentral's name for it is "bacterial SSU rRNA". It matches the Rfam family "Bacterial small subunit ribosomal RNA", at positions 90 to 1198 of the family's 1533-position model. Lineage: Bacteria; Pseudomonadati; Bacteroidota; Flavobacteriia; Flavobacteriales; Flavobacteriaceae. The record is from RNAcentral.